Non-coding RNA from Schistosoma mansoni, 51 nucleotides. The record is from Rfam. Lineage: Eukaryota; Metazoa; Platyhelminthes; Trematoda; Strigeidida; Schistosomatidae.
AUCCAGCUGGCGAGUCCCAAAUAGGACGAAGUGACGCGCAUCAAACUGGAU